AGAGACUUAAGUUAAAUAAACUAUAAACCUUCAAAGUUUAAUAUAUGCUCUAUGCAUAGGCUUUA
This 65-nucleotide transfer RNA is filed under the name Onymocoris hackeri. RNAcentral's name for it is "tRNA-Trp". Lineage: Eukaryota; Metazoa; Arthropoda; Insecta; Hemiptera; Thaumastocoridae. The record is from RNAcentral.